CCUACGGGAGGCAGCAGUGGGGAAUAUUGCGCAAUGGGCGAAAGCCUGACGCAGCGACGCCGCGUGAGGGAUGAAGGUCUUCGGAUCGUAAACCUCUGUCAGCAGGGAAGAACGGUCACUGUGCUAAUCAGCAGUGAAUUGACGGUACCUGCAAAGGAGCAACGGCUAACCCCGUUCAAGGAGCCGCGGUAAUAAGGAGGGUGCGAGCGUUAAUCGGAAUUACUGGGCGUAAAGCGCUGGUAGGCGGGAUGUCAAGUCAAGGGUGAAAGCCCCGCGCUCAACGUGGGAACUGCCUUUGAAACUGGCAGACUGGAGUGUGUGAGAGGUUAGUGGAAUUCCAGGUGUAGGAGUGAAAUCCGUAGAUAUCUGGAGGAACAUCAGUGGCGAAGGCGACUAUCUGGCACAUAACUGACGCUGAGGAGCGAAAGCGUGGGUAGCAAACAGGAUUAGAUACCCCAGUAGUC
This 464-nucleotide ribosomal RNA is filed under the name uncultured bacterium. Its description in RNAcentral is "partial 16S ribosomal RNA". It matches the Rfam family "Bacterial small subunit ribosomal RNA", at positions 338 to 795 of the family's 1533-position model. The record is from RNAcentral.